Molecule: long non-coding RNA, 1238 nt
Filed under: Takifugu rubripes (torafugu)
Lineage: Eukaryota; Metazoa; Chordata; Actinopteri; Tetraodontiformes; Tetraodontidae
Description: lncRNA (ENSTRUG00000029670.1)
Source: RNAcentral
CCGCUGUGGCUUUUAGCACCUUCAGCUAAUCAAAGCUUCCUCGGCGAUCUCCCUCUUACCUUUGAUGUGCCUUUAAUCUGAGACGGACGGGCUGCGGGAUUAGCCCAUCAGCUAACGUUAGUGUUUACUCGCCAUCCCUGCGGUCCGAUCGACGGCGGCGCCGGCCGAAGAGCGGCAGGACUUGAUGUAAAGGAGCCAUCGAUCAGAGUCUGGUUGCAUCACGUGUGAGGCCGCUAACGGCCGCAGCGUCUGCAUCCUCACGCCAUCGCAGCGACCCGCUCGCUCACCCCCCCCCCCCCGCCCCCCCACCCCCCCCCACACACACACACACGCCUUACAUCAUCUCAACGCUGGUCCCAGACCAGCUGCUGAGCGGCGGCGGCCCGGUUGCACGUCCUUCCACAAGGUUCUGGUGGCAGAGCGGGGGCCCGGUGGCCCCGUCCCGGACCAAAAAGGGCCUGAGCAGAAUCAAGAGUCAGCAAACCUGACGGGGAAUUACGUCCCUGCAUCCGUUUCGGAGCGGGAAUGUUGUCGGAAGCAGAGGCUGCGUUGUUCCCUCCCCCCAAAAGAUUAAAAUAAAUAAAGAUGGAAUCGGGGAAUGAGAAUUUAACUUUCUGGGCGAUAACGGGAACGUCGAGCUCUUCCCGCUCCGUAAUCAAUAACCGGGGAGGCGGAGGAGGAAACGCUGAGAUUGAGGACGUGUGCGUGAGGACGCCGAUGUGCCCGCCAGCAGAACCCGCCGAGCGUUGCCUGGAGAUAAGGAUGGGCGUCGCUGCUUCCUGGUCCGCCCCCAUCCUUCCCUCUGCACACCUGCGACCCAUCACACAAUCACCUCCACCUCCCUCCUGUUCUAUGACGUCCACAGACCCGUCGUGUCCUCGCCGUGGACGUCUUCUGUGUUGUCAAUUGCUGCUUUUCUACUGCCAACCUUCAGUAAAUACACCCGAUCCAGCGGUGUGUGUGUGUGUGUGUGUGUGUGUGUGUGUGUGUGUGUGUGUGUGUGUGUGUGUGUGUGUGUGCGUGUGUGUGUGUUUCUGCCACAGUCAAACCACGUUCCUGACAGAGGACACGGGAGCACAAAGGGGUUUUUGGACAAUCAGGCCUGACGGACGCAGCUGCGCCAGCGCUAACGUAUAUUUUUCCACACACCUACGCAGGCUCGUUAGGAUCGACUGCCCGGAAAGUCGGCGUUCUGACAGCUCCUGUUUGAAAUUCUCCGCGUGUGUUAAACCCUGCCG